RNAcentral lists this long non-coding RNA (233 nucleotides) under Elaeis guineensis (African oil palm). RNAcentral's name for it is "long non-coding RNA (EGUI_LNC029958)". Lineage: Eukaryota; Viridiplantae; Streptophyta; Magnoliopsida; Arecales; Arecaceae. The record is from RNAcentral.
GUCCUCCACAAGUUUAACUUGACUAAUUAUUAACGAACUAGAAACAUGACAUGGUCCAAUGGAUGGACCCAACUAAACUAGCAUUACUCCAUGGUGAGAUUUCAUUCCUGAAACUAUGCGUGUGUUAAAGAAUAUAAAAAAUGAAAGGUAACCCUUUUUUAAGAAAUAUGAUAGGAAGGACACCUUGAUAUAGGAUUUUUUUAGGAGAGCAGGAGAAGACCCACAUGUAUUAU